This 31-nucleotide non-coding RNA is filed under the name Mus musculus (house mouse). The record is from RNAcentral. Lineage: Eukaryota; Metazoa; Chordata; Mammalia; Rodentia; Muridae.
UACUGAAAUAACAUAUUCAUACAUCCUGACU